RNAcentral lists this ribosomal RNA (392 nucleotides) under uncultured bacterium. Its description in RNAcentral is "partial 16S ribosomal RNA". It matches the Rfam family "Bacterial small subunit ribosomal RNA", at positions 523 to 918 of the family's 1533-position model. The record is from RNAcentral.
AUACGGAGGACGCGAGCGUUAUCCGGAUUCAUUGGGUUUAAAGGGUGCGCAGGCGGCCAUUUAAGUCAGCGGUUAAAUCGUGGGGCUCAACCCCAUUCUGCCGUUGAUACUGGGUGGCUUGAUUGCGGUCGAGGUUGGCGGAAUUCGUUGUGUAGCGGUGAAAUGCAUAGAUAUGACGAAGAACACCGAUUGCGUAGGCAGCUGACCAGACCGCAAAUGACGCUCAUGCACGAAAGUGCGGGGAUCGAACAGGAUUAGAUACCCUGGUAGUCCGCACAGUAAACGAUGAAUACUUGUUUUCGGCGAUAUAAUGUCGGAGGCAAAGCGAAAGCGAUAAGUAUUCCACCUGGGGAGUACGCUGGCAACGGUGAAACUCAAAGGAAUUGACGGGG